CCCUGUAGAGCCUGUGCAAUCUGUGCAGAGGAUGGAUUGAAUUUCUGUGCUCACCUGUCUCUGUCUGGCUGAAGAGGUCAUUCAGCUUUGUGAGAAUCUAUGGGAUCUGCAUGGAUGUGACUUAGUUGCUCCUGUGAAGAGCUUCCGCCAGUGUUUCAUUUCCUCUCUGCUUUUCCCCACUGCAGCUAAAUACAAGCCAGAUUCCCAAGGAGAAGAAAAAGAUGCAAUUUCACUGCGAAAGAGCUUAUUUCAUUCAGAAGUGAUGAAAUGUCAUUGCUGGAAAAAUGCAGGAAAGAUUGCGUCGGACAGAUUCUGGAUGGCUUGCGUAGGGCAGUGAUCCCAGAUGGCCCUCUCCAUUUUACAGCAUCACAGCAGUGUUCAUGGAGGGAAGCAGGAAUCUUGACAUCUGUGUCAGCCACAGAUACAACAACUGCAUCUGACAGACGGGUCAUUCUCUGCAGUCCUGCAAGGACACAAAGUUGUGGAUUUGCCUCACGAGCGGAGGACCCAGCUGGCCCAUUCUUGGGAUUUGACUGGAAGACUCCUGCUGCUGAGCGGCGUGGCUGCUGACUUACUUCCUCAGGUAUAUCUGUCAUGAUUGCCUUUCCCUGCCUUCAAGGUGCCUGGUAGGUGAAGCACCAUGCGGGGACUCUGGCAAGGUGGUCAUAAAAGUCACUGCAGUGCUACGUGGCUUAAGGCCAUGUGCGAAAAGAAAUAAUGAUGCUUACUUACUGCGUGAAGCACAUUGAGCUUUUGGGUGGAAAAGCAAACCGUUAAGUGAUUAUUAGACUGUUUGAUUAAAUGCCGUUUAAUAGUUAUUACAAGAAAAGCUUUUAUGAUUGGCUGACUUCACCUGCCCAGGGAACCGGGCUCUGCCUGCUGGCUGGAUUUAGGCUCCCAGGAAAGACUACGGAGGAAGGCACAGAGUUGCUCUUCAGGCAAGUUGUCACAGAGCUGCCAGAGGACUGUUGCAGGAUUUAAAUCAUAUGAUCAGUAGGAGUGGCUGAAAAUGCUCUGAAGAAAGAAUUUUCCAACAUGAAAUACUGAUUUGAUGGAAUUUCAGUAUUAGUCAUUUCAGUAUUAGGAAUUUUACUUAAACUUCCUGGUGGGAACCAUGUGGGUG
RNAcentral lists this long non-coding RNA (1123 nucleotides) under Athene cunicularia (burrowing owl). RNAcentral's name for it is "lncRNA (ENSACUG00000004677.1)". Lineage: Eukaryota; Metazoa; Chordata; Aves; Strigiformes; Strigidae. The record is from RNAcentral.